RNAcentral lists this ribosomal RNA (548 nucleotides) under uncultured Glomeromycotina. RNAcentral describes it as "SSU rRNA". It matches the Rfam family "Eukaryotic small subunit ribosomal RNA", at positions 548 to 1098 of the family's 1831-position model. The record is from RNAcentral. Lineage: Eukaryota; Fungi; Glomeromycota.
UUGGAGGGCAAGUCUGGUGCCAGCAGCCGCGGUAAUUCCAGCUCCAAUAGCGUAUAUUAAAGUUGUUGCAGUUAAAAAGCUCGUAGUUGAAUUUCGAGAUCGGCUUACUGGUCGUGCUAUUGUACGUACUGGUAUAAUCGGUUUCUCCUUUCUGACGAACUAUAAUGCCAUUAAUUUGGUGUUUUAGGGAAUCAGGACUGUUACUUUGAAAAAAUUAGAGUGUUUAAAGCAGGCUCACGCUUGAAUACAUUAGCAUGGAAUAACGGAAUAGGACGUUUGAUUCUAUUUUGUUGGUUUCUAGGAUCGACGUAAUGAUUAAUAGGGAUAGUUGGGGGCAUUAGUAAUCAAUUGUCAGAGGUGAAAUUCUUGGAUUUAUUGAAGACUAACUACUGCGAAAGCAUUUGCCAAGGAUGUUUUCAUUAAUCAAGAACGAAAGUUAGGGGAUCGAAGACGAUCAGAUACCGUCGUAGUCUUAACCAUAAACUAUGCCGACUAGGGAUCGGAUGAUGUUAAUUUUUUAAUGACUCAUUCGGCGCCUUACGGGAAAC